ACGGAGGAUGCAAGCGUUAUCCGGAUUUAUUAGGUUUAAAGGGUGCGUAGGCUGAAUAGUCAGUCAGUGGUGAAAUCCUACGGCUUAACCGUAGAACUGCCAUUGAUACUGCUAUUCUUGAGUACAGUUGAGGUAGGCGGAAUGUGUAGUGUAGCGGUGAAAUGCUUAGAUAUUACACAGAACACCGAUUGCGAAGGCAGCUUACUAAACUGUUACUGACGCUGAGGCACGAAAGCGUGGGGAGCGAACAGG
Molecule: ribosomal RNA, 252 nt
Filed under: uncultured bacterium
Lineage: Bacteria
Description: partial 16S ribosomal RNA
Rfam family: Bacterial small subunit ribosomal RNA
Source: RNAcentral